This 68-nucleotide transfer RNA is filed under the name Darevskia saxicola. Its description in RNAcentral is "tRNA-Ser". Lineage: Eukaryota; Metazoa; Chordata; Lepidosauria; Squamata; Lacertidae. The record is from RNAcentral.
AAGAGGUGUAAGUAAACCAUUAGAGCUGCUAACUCAAAUAGCUAGGAAUAAUACCCUUAGACCUCUUA